UCCUAUAGAUGAAAGUACAAACAGUAGGGUGACACUGCACUGAGAUCAAUACUUGUUCUUCCUACCACCAAGUAGGUGAAGUGGGCUGGUAAAGAACGAGUUAUGAAAGCCUCAAAUGGCCUCAAAUGACAAAUUGAUUGAUAUUUUUCAUUAAGUUGGUGCAGUGAAUGUAACUAAGGCUAUUGAGAGUAAUUGUAGCCCCCCGCUCCUCAUUCCGUCACCCUCACAACUCUAGUUCAUGACUCUCCUCCUGCGGGAAGACCGUCCAUGAGUUGCAUCUGCGCUUGACAUAUCAGCUAUGCAGCCGUCAGCUGUCAUGCUGACUCGGCAUCACAGCACACAGCAUGAGAAAUGGACCCUUCUUCUCUCAUGAUCACAGAAAUGAAUCUGGAAGAUCGGCCUGGAGGUGACCUGACUUGGACAUCAGCAAAGCAGCCUAUAUGUUGUUGUAAAGUAUAUGUGUGUUCCGAAUCUAGUGUUUUCAGUGAAUACUCAUGUGAAGGUUGAACGAUGGAGAAGGAUAAAAACAACCACUUGUUUACGCUGGGCUGGCCAAACUCGUAGUGACCGAGUGGCGAGAGAGUUUAUUGAUUGUCCACAGGAUGGCGCUGGUGUCGCAGACAAGUGAAUGUAGAAGUCAGUCUAUUGGGUGGUGAAU
Molecule: long non-coding RNA, 658 nt
Organism: Frankliniella occidentalis (western flower thrips)
Lineage: Eukaryota; Metazoa; Arthropoda; Insecta; Thysanoptera; Thripidae
Exons: 3
Source: RefSeq, a predicted model, not a curated record